RNAcentral lists this unclassified non-coding RNA (750 nucleotides) under Hevea brasiliensis (rubber tree). Lineage: Eukaryota; Viridiplantae; Streptophyta; Magnoliopsida; Malpighiales; Euphorbiaceae. The record is from RNAcentral.
GUAAAUAAAAAGAAAGUAAACAAAGUAGCACAGGACACAGCAAAUUGCAACCAGCGAACCCCAACUAAUGAAGUGUAGUGAUACUCUUUUAAUACAUAGCACUACUUGCAAGGAUAUUCUGAUCCAUUCUCUGAAGACUAACCAUUGUGGCCCACUCCACCCACAUGGGAAUGGGUAUGGAUGAAACCAAUAUAUCUGAUAAUUGGGCGGGCACCAGUCAAGUUCCUUUUCCUUGUUGAAUCUGUUGAAGAAGAGCUGCUGCCAGCUGUAAUGUUGCUUGCAGGCGUUUCUGCGGAUCUCCAUCUUCUGCUUCUUGUGUACCAGUACUUGGCAUCUGAGGAUUCGUUGAAGUCCCUGGCUGAACCUCCCUUGGAAGUGGGGCUUGUACUGCUUUAGGCACAUUUGAUGCCUGCUGCUGCUGCAACUGUUGUGGUUGACCAAAUUGAGAUGUUGGAAUCUCAGAACCUACCCGAUUAUUCUGUAUAGCAUGUGUGUGUGCUGUUCUAAACUGGUUCUCCAACUGAUUCAUUGUGUUUGCGUGCCUAAUAUCUUCUCCCAUGGAUACAUUUGCAUUGCUCCCUGGUUGUCUUUGCUGCCCAAGAAGAGAUGAAGCUAGUUGUGCAAGUUGUUGCGGUUGCAAGCCAGCAGCAGGCAGAGACAGAGGAACCGAGGAUUUAUUUUCCUGAAGGAAUGGCUUGCUGGUUCCAGAUGCUAGGUUACUUGAUAUGCCAGCUGCAUGAAGAGCUAAGC